GAGAGUAUAGUUCAGUGGUAGAGCAUGUCCUUAGCAUACAUGAGGUCCUGGGUUCAAUCCCCAGUAUCUCCA
Camelus ferus (Wild Bactrian camel) is the source of this 72-nucleotide transfer RNA. It matches the Rfam family "tRNA". From Rfam's summary of the family: Transfer RNA (tRNA) molecules are approximately 80 nucleotides in length. Their secondary structure includes four short double-helical elements and three loops (D, anti-codon, and T loops). Lineage: Eukaryota; Metazoa; Chordata; Mammalia; Artiodactyla; Camelidae. The record is from Rfam.